This 274-nucleotide ribosomal RNA is filed under the name uncultured bacterium. RNAcentral describes it as "partial 16S ribosomal RNA". It matches the Rfam family "Bacterial small subunit ribosomal RNA", at positions 523 to 796 of the family's 1533-position model. The record is from RNAcentral.
CGACGAACCGUACAAACGUUAUUCGGAAUUACUGGGCUUAAAGGGUGCGUAGGCGGUCCGGAAAGUUGGGUGUGAAAUCCCUCGGCUCAACCGAGGAAUUGCGCCCAAAACUACCGGGCUCGAGGGAGACAGAGGUGAGUGGAACUUAGGGUGGAGCGGUGAAAUGCGUUGAUAUCCUAAGGAACACCAGUGGCGAAAGCGACUCACUGGGUCUCUUCUGACGCUGAGGCACGAAAGCUAGGGGAGCGAACGGGAUUAGAAACCCCAGUAGUCC